GGCAACCUCUUCUAGUAUUCUUGCUUCUGUGUUUAUGUCUUAAAUGCAUGAAGCAGUGUUUAGCAAAGUGCUUUUACAUGAAUUGGAAGAGAAUAGACCUUGCCUUGGACUUCAGAAAACCAGUACAGGACCAACAUAUGUGGAGCCAGCAGGAGCUAAAUCAUGCUUACCAUUAUGUUUGAUAUCUCUGUAUGUUAGUUUGCAUUUGGAAAACCUGCUAUUCCCAUUUAUCUUUGUUUUUUCGUCCAGAAGCACUAUUUUAACAAAACUGUGAAUGCUUUGUUUAGGUAUUAACAACAGUUUUUUAAAAAAGGUUGGGGUUUUUUUAAGUUAAUGAUCCCUACUUGAAAGACUAAUACACGAACACUGUUAGUAGUAUGUAAUUAAUAAUGAGCGUUAAUUAUUUCUCACCUGAAGCACUGCACAAAGCAUAUUUUGUAAUUUUAUAUUAUUUCAAAGAUUCUAAGAAAAACUGUAGCAUUUAAAAUUGUUUUAUACCAUUUUGUCCAUCUGAAUGCGAUUCUUGAACUAACAGAUAUUUCAGACACAGUUAUAACAUGCUUUCUGCAUUUUUUGUAAACCAUUCUUCACCUUACUGUCAGUAAACACUUAUUUUGAUUUAUAACUAAUAUUAUUGAGGUGAAAGCUAGUAGUUCUUGUUAGGUACAUCUGCAGGCAGGUUCCUUGUAAGGAGGUGGAAUUUUGGAACUGAAUAUAGGAAAACAUCUUAGAUCAGUUCAGAGUUUCCUCAUCUUUCUGUAACCAUAUUGCGAAGCAUCUUUGCCAGGCAUCUUGAUUCUCAAAUUAGUUGUUGUUGUGGGUUAGUGCUUGCUUAUAUUUUUUUUGCUAUCUCUUGCCUACUCAAGAGCUUGCGUGUGAAGUUCUCUUUCUAUUUGUUUUAGAACUGUGGAACCAUUGGAAUAUUACAGAAGGUUUUUGCACAUUACUCGUUGUUGAUCCAACUGCUGAAGAAGAUGAUUUAGCAACUGGAACAGUAACCAUUGUCUGAUGAAGAAGGCAGACUCUGUUUUGUCCAUAAACCAGGUGGAAGUCCUCUUACAGAAGCCAAGCUUCAGGACUAUAUCACCAGAGCAAUUACAAGACACGAAGAAGUAAAGAAGCUGAUUGACAAAGUAAUAAAAAUUACAGUGCCCAAGUGAACAAAAGGAGAGAUCUUUUCAAAAAUAGAUUUGUAAAAAUUGUAUUUGUUACAGUGUUCACAAACCUUUUAUACUAAAUAAACAAUUACCAAUACUACCUUUACAAA
Molecule: long non-coding RNA, 1267 nt
Organism: Corapipo altera (White-ruffed manakin)
Lineage: Eukaryota; Metazoa; Chordata; Aves; Passeriformes; Pipridae
Exons: 3
Source: RefSeq, a predicted model, not a curated record